RNAcentral lists this long non-coding RNA (5384 nucleotides) under Sus scrofa (pig). RNAcentral's name for it is "lncRNA (ENSSSCG00000061930.1)". The record is from RNAcentral. Lineage: Eukaryota; Metazoa; Chordata; Mammalia; Artiodactyla; Suidae.
CGCAGCAUAUGGAGGUUCCUAGGCUAGGGGUCUAAUCGGAGAUACAGCUGCCGGUCUACACCACAGCCACAGCAACGGGAGAUCUGAGCCACGUCUUUGACCUACACCACAGCUCACAGCAAUGCCAGAUCCCCGACCCACUGAGCAAGGCCAGGGAUAGAACCCACAUCCUUAUGGCUUCUAGUCGGGCCUGUUUCCGCUGUGCCACGAAGGGAACUCCCCGAAUUUCCAUUGACAAUGAACAUUUCCGGGCACGAGAAUCUUCUGGCGACCACACUUCGCCUUUCUGAGCUGUCCCGGGUAUGCCAGCUGGGCAGUGUGCUCUGGGGUCAGGGUAGUGAAGCAAAGGAAUCUGAACUUAUCCAUUUCAAAUCCAUCUCCUUCAGUCUUACUGAACUUCAAACACAUAUUAACACACUCCUCGACAAGAUGCAACUGCCUCUGAAAAUGUCCCACUUCAAGAUUAGAAAGAGUUCCCUGGUGUCUCAGUGGGUUAAGGAUCUGGCAUUGUUACUGCUGUGGCUCGGGCUGCUGCUGCGACAGAGGUCUGACCCCUGGCCCUGGAAUUCCCACGUGCGAGAUGUGAAGAAAGGCCGUGUGCUGGAAAGGCAAAGGGUAAGAGCAGCGGGUGCAGGAGGAGCUAAGGGACCAUCACGGGACAGCAGCAGCUUCAUUUGCUGGACGACUUGCUGACUACCAGCUCUUCGGUGCCAGCAUUUCCCCUGGUAUCUGGUGACACAUCAUCCCUUCAGCAUCACGUCCCCCAGGAACAACACUGCAAAGCUAUAUUUACGGCAAACCCUACAAGUCCUUGCUUGGCGAAUGUACCCAGCAAGGUUGGGAUAUAGAUGGAGUUUAGUGAAAUUCUUCCAACAUUUGGAUUCAUUCUUAGGAAAAAAACCAUUCCGCUGCCCAAUUGUUCAUCCUAAAAUAUUAGAAGAAAACUAACUGGAUUCCUCCCUCACAUCCUUGAAUUCAAUCUAGGGAUCGAUAAGCUACUGUUUUAUCAAUUCUUCUUGGACAAUGUUCAUGCCGUAAUAUUAAAUUAGAAGUAAGACUAGGAAUCUCCCUCACCUAUAAAAGGCAUGGUGUUUUUUUUGUUCAUGUUCAAUUUGCAUUGGUCCAUUGGGUCACAGGUGUGCAGCUACCAAUUCAUCCGUAACAUGCCGUUACUACGGGAACACGUCACUCUGAAGGGCAAAGGAGUUCGGCCUCAGAGGACCCCGAAGACUGAAGUUUCCUAUCUGCGCAAGAAACGUCAUUGUGUUAUUUAGAUGGAGAUUUCCUUAUAUUCAUAAAAAUAUCCUUUUUCCCAUUUAAGUAUACAGCCUGCCUCAUCUUUGGGGAAAAUGGGCUCCUCACGUUUCAUACCUGCCAUACAAGCAGUAUUUUCUACUAUGUUUUUCUCCCUUGUUUUUGGCCACCCCACGGCAUAUGGAGUUCCCCCACCGGGGAUCAGAUCCAAGCCACAGCUGCAACCUAUGCCACAGACGUGGCAACACCGGAUCCUUUAACCCACUGUGCCUGGCCAGGGAUCCAGCCUGUGUCCUGGCGCAGCAGAGACACUGCCAAUCAUCCCAUGGCACCACAGCGGCGAUUAGAGGUGGCUGAGAUGUUCCAGGGACGUGACAGCUCCUCCUGUCGCCCGUGGGCAGGGGCAGGCGCCAGCGCCUGGCAGGUGACCCCCCUCCGUGCCCAGGAUGGAGGCUUGCUCCCCACACUGAAACCCUGACCCAGAGAAAAACCUGUCUCUCCGGUCUCUCCCAGCCCUCCAAGUUCCUCUGGCCUCAACUUUGUGACCUUAACUUGUACUUGGUUGUGCCUGAUCCUUCUGUCCCCAAUUAGAAUUCUCAACAUGGAUGCAGGAGCUCAUCUCCUGUCUAUUUGCCAGUCGCUUUGGAUGCCCAACUCUGGUCCCACGAACUGGAGGAGGGUCAAGGGGUUCUGGUCCCCGUGAGGCUGCUCCCAGGACAAGGUGAAGGGUGAGGUGCCAUUUCCACCAGAGGCUUCAGCCCAGCCCCCGGUUUAAUCGGUAGCUGAUGAACUCGGUGUAUUCUCUCCAGCCAAGCCCCCUGGGGUCUUAAGAUUCCAGCUUCCUUGUGAGAGCAUCCACAUCCUCAGCUCGGGUCCUCAUCCAUUUCUCUUCAUUCAUCAGCCCCCCAAUAUGUCAUGUCCUCUGUUUUGUAAAGCACAGCUUCCUCGAGUUUGAGUUCCAGAGAUACGUGACCCGCCUUCACUGAUGAAGACCGUUUCGUAGCUUCAGAGACCCCUGAGGUGGGCUGAGAUGCAGGCAACCCUGCUAAGACUAAAAACUCACUUUAGGUCGGCUUCGGGCUCAGCCUGCUCUUGGCUGGAUUCCUUCUGCAACAUCCCCACCAAGUGGCUGUCCAGGCUCUGCUCCGACACCUGCAGUGAAGGGGACUCACUGGGUCCAGAGGCAACACAUUCUGACUUUAAAUAACUUUAUUAGGACAGUUCCUUAUCCUGAGCGUGAACUCCACACCCCUCAAGCACACACCCAGUGACCCGAGUUCACAGCCCAGAGCCACGGAACACCUCGAACUGCAGGGAGGCAGCUGAGUGUAGUAAGAUCCUGUGCCCCCGUGUCGGGUGGCAAGUGAGCAAGUUACUGAAGACUCCCCUUGGUUAAAAAAGAGAAAUAAUAAGGAUAGUGCUCCCCCCCACCAAGGAUGAGAUCAGGAUGCUUCCAGGACACCUGGACACACAGCGGUCUUAGCACGUUCCCUUCCGCUGCUGCGUGGCAACCCUUCACUUUGAAAGAUCCCUCUUAGGAUGUUUUCAAGACCCUUUACCAUCUAGAAUUCACACUGCUCAUCAGUGUGGUUUCUUCUGUUCCUUUUUCUCUUUCCAGUUUUUUCUCACCCAUUUGGUUUAGGGACAGACUAUCACAUGCUUCCUGUGUGAGCCAGGAGGGGAGGUCUCUUUUGGGAGAGUGGCGCCACCCAGCGGCACAUCUGGAGACUCUUCAGCCCCGACCAUCAGGUCAGCCGGAUGGUUUCCCAUCCUUGCAGCCCGGGCAUGUAGGAGAAUCCUCGUGAACUCUGGCUCCCUUUAACUUCCUUUCCUGGUUGGGGCUAAGGAAAUGCUGGCUGGAGCCCAGCAAGUCUGGGUGGCACCAGGCUUAGCUCUUCUAUGUCACCAGCCCAUCUUAGCUGAGCUGCUGUAACGGAAUACCACGGGGGGUGGGGGUGGGGGGUUGCUUCAGUGGAGGCCUGCUUCCUGGUUCACAGACAGCCCCAGCUUAAGGCUCUGUGCUCACUAGGUGGGAGGGGCAAGGGAGCUCCCGGGGUCUCUCCUAUUAGGGCACUAAUCCCGGUGAUGAGGGUUCCACCCUCGUGACCUGAAGCAAAAGCCCCACCUCCAGAUACCAUCACACUAGGGGUUAGGAUUUCAGCAUGGGAAUUCUGCAGGACAUCAACGUGCAGCCUGUAACACAGCGCCUCUACUUGGCAACCCUACCUGCCAAGGGCGGUCUGAGGGACUCCGUCCCUUCCUUUUCCUAACUCCUUUUCAAUCCUGAGGAAUUGUCUCUCCUCUGUAGGACUGGGUGCAGGGAUAGGGCUGAGGCUCUGCUAUUACUCACCCCUGUACCCAUGUCCCCAAGAUCAUGAUGCGCUCCUGGGACAUCAGCUGUGAAGUCUGGUCCAAGUUCAUAGCCCCCCGACUUGGCACAAUUCCCAAACACCACUCUGGGAGCUACUCUGGGUUCCCUGCUCCCCGGAGCUCUCCAUCCUUCAGACACACCUUCCAGCCUUUCGAGAAAGUGCUGCUUCCUCUGUCUCUGCCCCCAAUGGGGGGAGUGGGCUCACGGUGCCUGCCAUUCACACUACCAGGCACCCCUCGCCCUAGGCCUGUCUCAACCCUCCUGUCUCUGUCAGGCCGCUGCAGGUGCAAAUAACACAACACCCAGUAGAAACCCCUGAAGAACACGGGUUUAUUACUUCACUUGACAAGAUGUCCCUAAGUCGGAGGCUCCAGGCCACUUCAGCAAUCUGGAGCAUCAUCAAAGAUGCAGCGACGGUCCUUCUUUUCACUUCUCCAGCCUCAGCAUCUUGGGUUUCAUCUUCAUUUUUCCCCUGGUGGUUGCAAAACGCCUGGUACAACUUCAGGUAUUACUGCAGCCAAAGCCUUCCCAAAGUUCCCAGCAGACAUCAUUCCAACCUCAGCAGUGGGAACUGGAUAAAUCCCAUCCUGACACCCAAGGGAUGGGAUCACACCACCAGGGCCCACUGUCCCUGACACCUGAAGAACUGGGGGGGGGGUCUAUCACCAAGGAAGAGGAAGGCGGCUGUCGGACAGGAGGGGCAGUCUACACACCUCCUUGGCUGGCCCCCUGCUGCCGGUGUGAGGAACACUUCACCAUGGCCCAGAUGACUCCAACGUCUUAAUAAAGGGCUGGUCACACUAUGGCCCCAGUAGACAAGACACCACACAACCAAGGGAUGUGAUUCUUCUCUGUCCGUCAAGUCUUAAGUAGACUCCUAUAGUACGUUCUGCAGUAACUUCAAAGGCUUUUCUGCAAUGCCCUUGGCCAGUGCUAAGCCAGGAAACACACAUAACAGCACAAGCUUAGAAGACUCCUGGGAGUUCCUAUCAUGGCACAGUGGAAACAACCUGACUAGGAAUCAUGAGGCUGAAGGUUCGAUCCCUGGCCUUGCUCAGUGGCUUAAGGAUCCGGCACUGCUGUGAGCUGUGGUGUAGGUCACAGACGCGGAUCAAAUCCCAAGUUGCUGUGGCUGUGGCAUAGGCCAGCCACUGUAGUUCAGGCCAGCAGCUGUAGCUCCGAUUAGACCCCUAGCCUGGGAACUUCCAUAUGCCAUGGAUGCAGCCCUAAAAAGACAAAAAAAAAAAAAAAGACGACGACUCCUGGAUUUGGGAACAUUGACUUCACUUGUAAUUUUGGCCAUCAGGGAAAGUGCUUUGGGUAGUAUCCAGCUGCAUGGAUGGACUAUCAGGAAUCUUGCAUCUUUCCCAUUCUGGUUUUGACGUGUGCUGGUGUACACUGUCUCCCAGCAACACUGAGAGUAUGUGGAAGACAGCCUCAUUUCCGACCUCGUCUCAACUUGGUUUCACGUGCACUUGGGGAGCUAAGCAUUUCGAGAAGUUCGAAUGCCAGAUUUGUCCAAGGGUCUGAUGAGGUGCCCCCGGCACACCUGGGAAUGCAAGGACUGCGAUCCUGAGUGCGUGCUCCUGGAGAAAGAGCAUUCAGAUAGGAAUGUGCUCGAGUCGCUGACCUGAGUGCCGAUGGAACCUCCAGGUCCUUUCACAGAGGCUCCUGGCGGACUACAUCACCCCUAAGUGGUGUUUCUAUUCUUCAUUUAUUUACUUUACUUUAAAUUUUAUCCAUGAGGCAUUUGCCUCUG